AUUGAACGCUGGCGGCAGGCCUAACACAUGCAAGUCGAGCGGAUGAAGGGAGCUUGCUCCUGGAUUCAGCGGCGGACGGGUGAGUAAUGCCUAGGAAUCUGCCUGGUAGUGGGGGAUAACGUCCGGAAACGGGCGCUAAUACCGCAUACGUCCUGAGGGAGAAAGUGGGGGAUCUUCGGACCUCACGCUAUCAGAUGAGCCUAGGUCGGAUUAGCUAGUUGUUGGGGUAAAGGCCUACCAAGGCGACGAUCCGUAACUGGUCUGAGAGGAUGAUCAGUCACACUGGAACUGAGACACGGUCCAGAUUCCUACGGGAGGCAGCAGUGGGGAAUAUUGGACAAUGGGCGAAAGCCUGAUCCAGCCAUGCCGCGUGUGUGAAGAAGGUCUUCGGAUUGUAAAGCACUUUAAGUUGGGAGGAAGGGCAGUAAGUUAAUACCUUGCUGUUUUGACGUUACCAACAGAAUAAGCACCGGCUAACUUCGUG
Molecule: ribosomal RNA, 484 nt
Filed under: uncultured bacterium
Lineage: Bacteria
Description: partial 16S ribosomal RNA
Rfam family: Bacterial small subunit ribosomal RNA
Source: RNAcentral